Molecule: ribosomal RNA, 468 nt
Filed under: uncultured bacterium
Lineage: Bacteria
Description: partial 16S ribosomal RNA
Rfam family: Bacterial small subunit ribosomal RNA
Source: RNAcentral
GACGAACGCUGGCGGCGUGCUUAACACAUGCCAGUCGAACGGAAAGGCCCUGCUUUUGUGGGGUGCUCGAGUGGCGAACGGGUGAGUAACACGUGAGUAACCUGCCCUUGACUUUGGGAUAACUUCAGGAAACUGGGGCUAAUACCGGAUAGGAGCUCCUGCUGCAUGGUGGGGGUUGGAAAGUUUCGGCGGUUGGGGACGGACUCGCGGCUUAUCAGCUUGUUGGUGGGGUAGUGGCUUACCAAGGCUUUGACGGGUAGCCGGCCUGAGAGGGUGACCGGCCACAUUGGGACUGAGAUACGGCCCAGACUCCUACGGGAGGCAGCAGUGGGGAAUAUUGCACAAUGGGCGGAAGCCUGAUGCAGCAACGCCGCGUGCGGGAUGACGGCCUUCGGGUUGUAAACCGCUUCCGCCUGUGACGAAGCGUGAGUGACGGUAAUGGGUAAAGAAGCACCGGCUAACUACGUG